UUUGAUAGAGAGAGGCUCACUGGUUGAUGAGGUUGCUGAGGUGUGUGUGUGUAUGUGUGUGUGUGUGUUUGAUAGAGAGGCUCACUGGUUGAUGAGGUUGCUGAGGUGUGUGUGUG
This is a long non-coding RNA of Alosa sapidissima (American shad), 116 nucleotides long. RefSeq lists it as uncharacterized. Lineage: Eukaryota; Metazoa; Chordata; Actinopteri; Clupeiformes; Clupeidae. The transcript is spliced from 3 exons. The record is from RefSeq and is a predicted model, not a curated record.